Molecule: small nuclear RNA, 170 nt
Organism: Trichechus manatus latirostris (Florida manatee)
Lineage: Eukaryota; Metazoa; Chordata; Mammalia; Sirenia; Trichechidae
Product: U1 spliceosomal RNA
Exons: 1
Source: RefSeq, a predicted model, not a curated record
AUACUUACCUGGCAGAGGAGAUACCAUGAUCAUGAUAGGUGGUUUUUUUUCCCAAGGGGGAAGAUUAUGUACUGUGCUCCGGAUAUGCUGACCCCUGCUAUUUUCCCAAAUGUAGGAAACUUAACUGCAUAAUUUGUGGUAGUGGGGGACUGUGUUUGUUCUUUCCCCAG